GAUGAACGCUGGCGGCGUGCCUAAUACAUGCAAGUCGAGCGAACAGACGAGGAGCUUGCUCCUCUGACGUUAGCGGCGGACGGGUGAGUAACACGUGGAUAACCUACCUAUAAGACUGGGAUAACUUCGGGAAACCGGAGCUAAUACCGGAUAAUAUAUUGAACCGCAUGGUUCAAUAGUGAAAGACGGUUUUGCUGUCACUUAUAGAUGGAUCCGCGCCGCAUUAGCUAGUUGGUAAGGUAACGGCUUACCAAGGCAACGAUGCGUAGCCGACCUGAGAGGGUGAUCGGCCACACUGGAACUGAGACACGGUCCAGACUCCUACGGGAGGCGGCAGUAGGGAAUCUUCCGCAAUGGGCGAAAGCCUGACGGAGCAACGCCGCGUGAGUGAUGAAGGUCUUCGGAUCGUAAAACUCUGUUAUUAGAGAAGAACAAAUGUGUAAGUAACUAUGCACGUCUUGACGGUACCUAAUCAGAAAGCCACGGCUAACUACGUG
Molecule: ribosomal RNA, 497 nt
Filed under: uncultured bacterium
Lineage: Bacteria
Description: partial 16S ribosomal RNA
Rfam family: Bacterial small subunit ribosomal RNA
Source: RNAcentral